Long non-coding RNA from Oreochromis niloticus (Nile tilapia), 857 nucleotides. RefSeq lists it as uncharacterized. NCBI's taxonomy places the organism in Eukaryota, Metazoa, Chordata, Actinopteri, Cichliformes, Cichlidae. The record is from RefSeq and is a predicted model, not a curated record. The transcript is spliced from 2 exons.
CUGGCCCUUCACCAACAUGGUUUUGUUCACCAUCGUCAUGGUUUUGUGAGCCGUCUCCUCUAUCCAUUUUUUGAAAACAGUCUGCUUUAAUAGACUGGAGGAAACUGGUCGGUACAGCUGUCAAACUUUAGCUGAUUGGUAUAGAACUUUUAAAAUGUCCUUGAAAAAGAUUUUAAAUCUCUUUAGCAAACUCUUUAAAAACACGGAGCAAAUGUCAACUAACCGCAACUGAUUGCUGUGAGGAACACUGCGACCUUACGGCUAUUUAAGGAUUUUCAGAGAUCAAACGCAACAUUCUGAUUGGUUGUGCGCUGUUCUGACCUUUGUUUCGUCAUCGAAUUUGGUUCAUUCUGAUGACGGUCAACGUUCUGCUGAUGAAAAAACGUCACUGGUGACUGAAACUUUUACAGGUGAAGCAUUUCCCACAAAGCCUUGUGCAUAAAGUUUAAAGUAUUCCUCGGCCUCAUGAUUUCGUUUUCCUUUCUGGCUGAAUUAAAAUAAAUUAAUUUAAAUAAAUGAUGAAGAGAUGAACGUCAUAGAUUUCCUUUGACGCUUUGUGUUCCUACUCUUGUGACCUGUGAUGGUAUUUCUUUUGAUGUAUUUGUAUUUUAUUGCAUUCGCAGAGUCUGGUCCAAUAGGAGCGCUGAAUCCCACUUUAGACUACAAAUCGUCAGUCGACGGAAGUUGCAUCACCACAACAACAACCAGUACCGGUGUUGUGCUAAAGUAGUUACCCCGUCUUUUCCAGUGGCUACACUUGAUGAUGGCGACACUAGCAAUUCGUGUUAUAAACCCAGAUGCCCCUGCACAUCGUCAGCAGGCCGGGUGAGAAGUAUGGUCUUCACCAAACCUCCACA